CGCGGGGUAGAGCAGUUGGUAGCUCGUCGGGCUCAUAACCCGGAGGUCGCUGGUUCAAGUCCAGCCCCCGCCACCA
Molecule: transfer RNA, 76 nt
Filed under: Bacillota bacterium
Lineage: Bacteria; Bacillati; Bacillota
Also listed under: 1 other name
Description: Firmicutes bacterium (anaerobic digester metagenome) tRNA-Met
Rfam family: tRNA
About the family: Transfer RNA (tRNA) molecules are approximately 80 nucleotides in length. Their secondary structure includes four short double-helical elements and three loops (D, anti-codon, and T loops).
Source: RNAcentral